This 257-nucleotide ribosomal RNA is filed under the name uncultured Pseudomonas sp. Its description in RNAcentral is "partial 16S ribosomal RNA". It matches the Rfam family "Bacterial small subunit ribosomal RNA", at positions 96 to 355 of the family's 1533-position model. Lineage: Bacteria; Pseudomonadati; Pseudomonadota; Gammaproteobacteria; Pseudomonadales; Pseudomonadaceae. The record is from RNAcentral.
CGGCGGACGGGUGAGUAAUGCCUAGGAAUCUGCCUGGUAGUGGGGGACAACGUUUCGAAAGGAACGCUAAUACCGCAUACGUCCUACGGGGGAAAGCAGGGGACCUUCGGGCCUUGCGCUAUCAGAUGAGCCUAGGUCGGAUUAGCUAGUUGGUGAGGUAGUGGCUCACCAAGGCGACGAUCCGUAACUGGUCUGAGAGGAUGAUCAGUCACACUGGAACUGAGACACGGUCCAGACUCCUACGGGAGGCAGCAGCC